GCGGCAGAAGAAGCACCGGCUAACUCCGUGCCAGCAGCCGCGGUAAUACGAGGGUGCGAGCGUUAAUCGGAAUUACUGGGCGUAAAGCGCAUGCAGGCGGUCUGUUAAGCAAGAUGUGAAAGCCCCGGGCUUAACCUGGGAACCGCAUUUUGAACUGGCAGGCUAGAGUCUUGUAGAGGGGGGUAGGAAUUUCAGGUGUAGCGGUGAAAUAGCGUAGAGAUCUGAAGGAAUACCGGUGGCGAAGGCGGCCCCCUGGACAAAGACUGACGCUCAGAUGCGAAAGCGUGGGGAGCAAACAGGAUUAGAUACCCUGGUAG
RNAcentral lists this ribosomal RNA (317 nucleotides) under uncultured bacterium. RNAcentral describes it as "bacterial SSU rRNA". It matches the Rfam family "Bacterial small subunit ribosomal RNA", at positions 478 to 793 of the family's 1533-position model. The record is from RNAcentral.